Molecule: ribosomal RNA, 497 nt
Filed under: uncultured bacterium
Lineage: Bacteria
Description: partial 16S ribosomal RNA
Rfam family: Bacterial small subunit ribosomal RNA
Source: RNAcentral
GAUGAACGCUGGCGGCGUGCCUAAUACAUGCAAGUCGAGCGACCAGACGAGGAGCUUGCUCCUCUGACGUUAGCGGCGGACGGGUGAGUAACACGUGGAUAACCUACCUAUAAGACUGGGAUAACUUCGGGAAACCAGAGCUACUACCGGAUAAUAUAUUGUACCGCAUGGUUCAAUAGUGAAAGACGGUUUUGCUGUCACUUAUAGAUGGUUCCGCGCCGCAUUAGCUAGUUGGUAAGGUAACGGCUGACCAAGGCAACGAUGCGUAGCCGACCUGAGAGGGUGAUCGGCCACACUGGAACUGAGACACGGUCCAGACUCCUACGGGAGGCAGCAGUAGGGAAUCUUCCGCAAUGGGCGAAAGCUUGACGGAGCAACGCCGCGUGAGUGAUGAAGGUCUUCGGGUCGUAAAACUCUGUUAUUAGGGAAGAACAAAAGUGUAAGUAACUAUGCACGUCUUGACGGUACCUAAUCAGAAAGCCACGGCUAACUACGUG